Molecule: transfer RNA, 72 nt
Filed under: Camelus ferus (Wild Bactrian camel)
Lineage: Eukaryota; Metazoa; Chordata; Mammalia; Artiodactyla; Camelidae
Rfam family: tRNA
About the family: Transfer RNA (tRNA) molecules are approximately 80 nucleotides in length. Their secondary structure includes four short double-helical elements and three loops (D, anti-codon, and T loops).
Source: Rfam by way of RNAcentral
GAGGAUAUAGCUCAAUGGUAGAGUGCAUGCUUAGCAUGCACGAGGUCCUGAGUUCAAUACCCAGUACCUCCA